RNAcentral lists this unclassified non-coding RNA (1544 nucleotides) under Leishmania donovani. RNAcentral's name for it is "gene:LdHU3.13.0650(CDS-product:hypothetical_prote in_conserved)". Lineage: Eukaryota; Euglenozoa; Kinetoplastea; Trypanosomatida; Trypanosomatidae. The record is from RNAcentral.
CCGCAGCUGCGUGGUGGCCAGUGCCCGCCUGGCCCCGCGAUCGCUGGUGUGUGCAUGCGUGCGUGCUGUCGAUAAACGGGCUAUACCGUGUCACCCGCCAUGGUCACCAUGGACUUGUUGAACUUCAUCUCGUUAGCCAUUGACCUCCGCGACUACCCGGGAUACGCGACAUGCAUCCGCGCCACUGAAUACCCUGGCCUCGCCCUGUGCGAGUACAGCGCGGUCACCGGUAUGCGCUACACGGUACCACUUGGCUACGCGGCAUCCGCGGUGUACUUUUACCUUUACCACCGCCCCCGCCUCUCCUUCGCCGACCGCUCGCUAACCAAGUUACACCACUACUUCUACCCAAGCGCCGGCUACAGCACGCCACUCGGAAUCAUCGGCGGCGUUCUUUACGGCGCUGCCGAGUGCGUGCAAGGUCUUACACCGGCGGCUCUGGAGGCCACCGCCGCGCGGGAAAAGGCGGCUGCUGUGAUGGCUGCAGAGCAGUACAGUCAACGCCACCGCGCGGCGAAGCAACGGCUGAAAGCGGAACAGUCGUUUGCCUCCAAGGCACUGGCCUGGCUGCGGCUGUGCGAAGACCCGGUGCAGGCAGAGCUCGCGCGCAUGGGACUCGGAGAGGACAGCAUUGCGUGGGAGACUCUGCUAGUGCCGCAGGGGUAUCUCUGGACGCAGCUGCACUCCGUCGUGCACGAUCCUGCCCGGUACCGCGGCUACGAGGCUCCUGUCGCGAUCGGUGCGGCAGUCCCCACUUCAACGGACGAGAGGCUCAGCCAACCUUCUGGCGGUGCCAGUACGCCGUGCCCCUCGCCUUCCGGGGUUUUGUCGUUUUCGAGAGCGUAUUUUACGAAGCCGCAGGUGGACGCUGUCGUGAGUCGGAUAGGGACGCUGCGCACCUCGCCGGAAGAUGACCGCUGGAUGCGCUCGGCUGGCCGCUGCGGCGCCUACGGCGUUUUUGGCAUGCUGCUCACGUGGAACAGCGGCGGUGCUCUGUUUCGCGCGCAGAUGGGACUUGGCCUUGGUGUGACGAUUGCCGGUCUGGCGUCCGCGACGCGGCUGGAUGAAGUGUUCGCUCACCUGUGACAUGUGUGUGCGUGUGUGCCGUGCGUGUGUCUGUGCAGCGAUGCCCUUUUUUGUCUUCACACGCUUGCCAGAACGGCGGCCGCUGAGGCGACCACAGCGGUGGCCUUUUUGCCCCACUUGUGACUGGUCUUCUGUACGCGAUGUGCGCGUGCCUAGGACGAGACCAUGAUCAUUCGAGAAGGCGAAAAGAAAAAAUGAUAGCAACAGCAGGACGUCGAACUGUGAGCACCGACAGGAGCAGCGCCAGCCGAGCAGUUUGUGUAAGGGGCGUGUGGCUGUGCGUUGGAGGAGUGUGGGAGGGGACCAAAUAUCCUCCGUCGUUGCUCCUCUCACUGCGCGUGAUCGAGUCUCUCUCUGUUUUUUAUUUUUUUCUUGGGUGUUUCUUCUUCGUGCGAAUGGCGAGGCCAUGGGCCCACUGGAAAGAGGGGCAAGAGGCAUCCAGUAUCCUUCUUCCAGAC